AUGGACACGGCCAUCAGUGCAGCAGUGUGGGUGGUAGGCAAGGCGCUGGCCCCUGUUUCGGAUGGCUUGCUGGAGAACUGGGCGGCCUGCGACAGUCUCGGCCCCAACAUCAGCACCCUUAAGAGGAAGUUGCUUCAUGCGCAGGGGAUACUAUACACCGCGCACGGCAGGGACAUCACCAACCCUGCGCUCAAGGACCAGCUGCACAUGCUGCGGCAGCUGGCGGACGAGGCGAACGACGUGCUCGAUGAGCUGGACUACUUCUGCAUCCAGGACAAACUCGACAGCACCUACGAUGCCGCUGAUAACCAUCCCGGGGGCUGCAUCCACAACCUCAACCUCAAUGUGCGGCACACUGCCAGAGCUUUUUUUGCCAAUAAAUUCAAGAUUUCCCCAUGCUGGCAUGAUGCUAAUGGCGACGAUCUUGACUCCCAAGAAGAUGAUGCAAAACAAGGAUGCCUAUCUGUUGUCCGCACAUGCGGCGGGAAGCGUGUUGUUGGCAGUGGAUGCAUACCGAAGGGAGUCUCUAGUGGUGCUCAUGUUGCCGGCCACGUUGUUACUACUCAGACAGGCAUGUCAGAACCCUUGAAGGCACCACUAGUAGUUGGAGAAAAAAAUAAGUUUCAUUGUGUGGAGAUGUCUAAGAAGAUGGCAGAAAUUGUACAACAGCUGGAACCAAUGUGCGCUGAGGUGAAGGACAUCCUUGAUCUGGAGCUCCGCAAACCUACCCAAGGCAGCAUUACUGGAAACAGACCCACAACCACCCCAGCAAUAAUAGAGAUUGAGUUAUUUGGAAGGAAUGCUGAGAAAAAGGACAUUCUAGAUGGCAUUAACAAUGGAAAAUAUUGUACCGAUGGGCUCACCGUGCUUCCAGUUGUUGGCCCAGGGGGUAUUGGGAAGACGACUUUCAUACAACAUGUUUAUCGAGAAGUGAAGAGCUCUUUUGAUGUUAUGAUUUGGGUAUGUGUGUCUCUGAGUUUCAAUGCAAAUAGGCUGACACAAGAGAUUGUGCAAAACAUCCCUAAGGUUAAUGGUGAAACGGAAAAUACUGUUGCAGAAGAGCUUAUUGAGCAGAGGUUAAGACAUAAGAGAUUUUUGCUCGUCUUGGAUGAUAUGUGGAUAUAUCAUGAGUAUGAGUGGAAAAAACUGUUAGCUCCCUUUGAAAAAGGACAUGAAAGAGGUAAUAUGGUUAUUGUCACUACCAGAAUUCCAGAGACAGCAACAAUGGUAAAAACAAUUGAUUAUCCGGUAGAUCUGACUCGCUUAGGAGCUGAUGAUUUUAUGCAUUUAUUUGAAAAAUAUGUAUUUGGCGACCAGGAGGCAUGGAAAGAUCAUCCUAAAUUGCUUGAUGUUGGUAAAGAAAUAGUGGUCAAUUUGAAGGGUUUCCCUCUUGCAGCAAAAACUGUAGGUAGAUUACUGAGAAACCAACUUACAUUGGACCAUUGGACAAGAGUUUUAGAAAGCAAAGAAUGGGAGUUACAAACUAGCGACUAUGACAUUAUGCCAGCUCUGAAGCUAAGCUAUGAUUACCUCCCUUUCUAUCUUCAGCAGUGUUUUUCCUAUUGUGGUUUGUUCCCCGAAGAUUAUGAGUUUGGUAGCAAAGAGUUGGUUCACUUAUGGAUAGGGCUUGACUUUUUAGAUUCAUGUGAUGGAAGGAAAACCAUUGAAGAUGUUGGGUUGCGAUAUUUAAAUGACUUGGUUAAUAGCGGUUUUCUCAAGAAGACCGAAAAAGAUGAUGGCAGCCAUUGUUAUGUUGUUCAUGACCUACUGCAUAACUUGGCAGUGAAGGUUUCAUCAUCAGAGUGCCUUAGCAUAUCAAGUUCUAAUGUGAGAUAUGUACACUCUUCCCUAUCUGUACGUCACUUGUCUAUCAUUGUAAAUGAGAGCGAUGUCAACGACAGAUUGACCUUUGAUGAUUUUAAGAGCGACUUGAGUGCAUUACAUACAAAGUUGAAGGUUGAAAAGCUACAAACUGUGAUGCUAUUUGGAAAAUACCAUGGAAGCUUUGCAAAGGCUUUUGGUGAUUUGUUUGCAGAAGCAAAAGCCCUUCGUGUUAUUCUUUUGUCUGAAGCAUCUUAUAGUUAUAAGUUGGAGGAUGUGUUCCACAACAUUUGGAGAUUUUUCCAUCUUCGCUACCUAAGGAUAAUUGCAGGAGAUUUGACAAAAUUAAGUUUGAACAGCAAUAUCUCAAGAUUUUAUCACCUGAGGGUCCUUAAUUUUCAACAAUGCAAUGUCAACCUUGGUCCUCUCAGAGCAAUAAGCAACCUUGUAAAAUUGCGGCAUUUUCUUGUCAAGGACAUCGGUUUUGAAUUAAAGCAGAUAGCACAGUUAGCAGAGCUUGGUGGGUUGCUGAGAAUCCAUAAUAUUGAGAAUGUUGAACGAAAGGAAGGAGCGAACAAAGCAAACUUGAUACACAAAAACCACUUAGAGAAGCUAAUAUUGCGAUGGGGUGUUUAUGGGGACAACGCAAAUUCUGUGCAAGAACAGGUUCUCGAAAUUCUAAAACCACAUAGCAAUCUCCUAGAUCUGCACAAUGAAGGGCAUAGAGGUGCUGCUUGCCCGUCAUGGCUAGGUGGGAACCUCUCGGUUAAAAAUUUGGAAUCUCUUUGUUUGCAUGAUAUAGGUUGGAAAACUCUUCCACCUCUAGGAGAGUUGUGGUCUGUUGGUGAGCUUGGUGAAGAGCGUCAAAGUAGUAUCCCAAGUCAAAGUUUUCAAAAUCUGAAAAGGCUAGAAUUAGUUAAAAUACCAUGGUUGAGAAGAUGGGUUGAAAAUAGCACUUGUCGUUUGUUCUCUCAGCUAGAAGUGCUCAUUGUUAAAGGUUGCUCUGAACUUGUGGAGCUGCCAUUUUCACGCUGUCAAUCAGAGCAAGAAGCUGCAAACAUGACUUGGUUUCCUAGAUUACAGAAGCUCGAGAUUAUGGACUGCCCGAAACUGCUGUCAUUGCCUCCUAUCCCUUGGACUCUUGGUCCAUGCUCUGCCGAGAUAAUGGGGGUUGGAUCUGGUUUUGAGGAGCUGUGGUACUCAAAAGAACACUCGUCUAAACUAUUAAGCUUGAGUAUUACGGGGAAGGGUGGUCAAGAUGGCAUGUUCUGGAAUAUUUUAGCAUUCUCUAAUCUAGCUGAUCUAAACGAGCUGCGCUUGAAGAAUUGCUCUCCUUUGCCAAUGGAUCAUCUCCAGAAGUUAACAUCACUGAAGUCCCUCGAAAUAGAAAAUUCGAGUAAUGUCCUGUCGCCGACCGACAGUGAGAGUGAUGUCACAUACAAGAUACCAAUCGAAUGCCUCUCGAUCAGGUUUUGUGGUUCUGGUGAGAAGGAAUUGACACAGUUGCUCUCUCAUUUUCCAGAUCUCAGCGAUUUGGCAAUACUUGAUUGUGAAAAGAUAACAAGGGUUGGUGUGGUGGAGCAGCAGCAGCAGGCGACAAGAGGAGAGGAGGAAAUAGCGCUAGCAGCAGGAGAAGAAGCUGGACUUUUGCUCUCCCUCCUCUCCUCCUCCAUCACCAGCUUAAGCUUUAAUCACAAUCAUGAGGUGGAGCGCUUCACUAAGGAGCAAGAGGAUGCCCUUCAGCUCCUCACCUCCCUGGAGUACCUCAGUUUUCUAAAGUGCGGCAAGCUGCAGUGCCUCCCGGCAGGGCUACAUAGACUUUCUAGCCUCCAGACAUUGUGUAUUCAGCAUUGUGAGGCCAUCAAAUCGCUGCCCAAGGACGGCCUCCCAACUUCUCUGCAAUUUCUACAUAUCAUAGGCUGUCCUUCCUUGAAAUCGCUAACCAAGGAUGGCCUCCCUUCUUCUCUGGAAAAAUUAAGCAUCAUUGAUUGUCCUGCACUGAAAUCACUGCCCAGUCACGGCCUCCCAGACUCACUGCGAGUGUUACAUGUCGAAGAUGAUGGAAACAGCGAGGAGCUAAUGAGGCAGUGCCGCAAGUUGAAAGGAAUCAUUCCAAUAAUCAUAGACUGA
This 3951-nucleotide ribosomal RNA is filed under the name Triticum aestivum (bread wheat). RNAcentral's name for it is "partial small subunit ribosomal RNA". The record is from RNAcentral. Lineage: Eukaryota; Viridiplantae; Streptophyta; Magnoliopsida; Poales; Poaceae.